Non-coding RNA from Podarcis lilfordi (Lilford's wall lizard), 71 nucleotides. Lineage: Eukaryota; Metazoa; Chordata; Lepidosauria; Squamata; Lacertidae. The record is from the annotation of a GenBank genome assembly.
GAUUUAUAGCUUAGUGGCAGAGCAUAUGCUUGGCAUUCAGGAGGUCCCAGGUUCAAUGCUUGGCAUCUCCA